This 507-nucleotide ribosomal RNA is filed under the name uncultured bacterium. Its description in RNAcentral is "bacterial SSU rRNA". It matches the Rfam family "Bacterial small subunit ribosomal RNA", at positions 28 to 527 of the family's 1533-position model. The record is from RNAcentral.
GAUGAACGCUAGCGGGAGGCUUAACACAUGCAAGUCGAGGGGCAGCAUAGGGUAGCAAUACUCUGAUGGCGACCGGCAAACGGGUGAGUAACGCGUAUGCAACCUACCCUGUACAGGGGGAUAACCCGGAGAAAUUCGGACUAAUAUCCCGUAAUAAUAUCCGGAGGCAUCUUUGGAUAUUUAAAGUUCCGACGGUACGGGAUGGGCAUGCGUAACAUUAACUGGUUGGUAAGGUAACGGCUUACCAAGGCUAUGAUGUUUAGGGGUCCUGAGAGGGUGGUCCCCCACACUGGUACUGAGACACGGACCAGACUCCUACGGGAGGCAGCAGUGAGGAAUAUUGGUCAAUGGGCGCAAGCCUGAACCAGCCAUCCCGCGUGCAGGAAGACGGCCCUAUGGGUUGUAAACUGCUUUUCCAGGGAGAGAAACUUACGCACGUGUUGCGUGACUGACGGUACCCUGGGAAUAAGCAUCGGCUAACUCCGUGCCAGCAGCCGCGGUAAUAGU